GAUGAACGCUGGCGGCGUGCUUAACACAUGCAAGUCGAACGGAAAGGCCCAAGCUUGCUUGGGUACUCGAGUGGCGAACGGGUGAGUAACACGUGGGUGAUCUGCCCUGCACUUCGGGAUAAGCCUGGGAAACUGGGUCUAAUACCGGAUAGGACCACAUUUUGGAUGGUGUGGUGGAAAGUUUUUCGGUGUGGGAUGAGCUCGCGGCCUAUCAGCUUGUUGGUGGGGUAAUGGCCUACCAAGGCGUCGACGGGUAGCCGGCCUGAAAGGGUGUACGGCCACAUUGGGACUGAGAUACGGCCCAGACUCCUACGGGAGGCAGCAGUGGGGAAUAUUGCACAAUGGGCGCAAGCCUGAUGCAGCGACGCCGCGUGGGGGAUGGCGGCCUUCGGGUUGUAAACUCCUUUCGCUAGGGACGAAGCGUUUUUGUGACGGUACCUGGAGAAGAAGCACCGGCUAACUACGUG
This 467-nucleotide ribosomal RNA is filed under the name uncultured bacterium. RNAcentral describes it as "partial 16S ribosomal RNA". It matches the Rfam family "Bacterial small subunit ribosomal RNA", at positions 28 to 507 of the family's 1533-position model. The record is from RNAcentral.